Molecule: ribosomal RNA, 255 nt
Filed under: uncultured bacterium
Lineage: Bacteria
Description: partial 16S ribosomal RNA
Rfam family: Bacterial small subunit ribosomal RNA
Source: RNAcentral
UACGUAGGUGGCAAGCGUUGUCCGGAUUUACUGGGCGUAAAGGAUGCGUAGGCGGAUGUUUAAGUGAGAUGUGAAAUACCCGAGCUCAACUUUGGGUGCUGCAUUUCAAACUGGAUAUCUAGAGUGCAGGAGAGGAAAGCGGAAUUCCUAGUGUAGCGGUGAAAUGCGUAGAGAUUAGGAAGAACACCAGUGGCGAAGGCGGCUUUCUGGACUGUAACUGACGCUGAGGCAUGAAAAGCGUGGGGAGCAAACAGG